GUUCUGUCAGAUGUCACAGUCAGGACAAGAACAAUACCCUGUCUCUUUCACAAGGAGCUCUGGGAACCGACAGGCUUUGUGAGGUGGAAACUCAGGUUUUCCUAGGGGUGUAGCUCCCAAUACUCCCUCCGCUCUCAAGAAUAUAUAUGGGCAACAUAAAUUAGACUUGAUGGUGAAAAAGGCCUUCAUCUGGAACCCGACAAUCACACCUGACCCCCUUAUGACUGACAGCGUCCAUAACAGGCGGGCUGCUAUUGCUCUGAAGAGGAAGAAACUCACUUUCUAGGAUUUGAUAGGAUUGGCCCACAGGAUUUGGAAAGCGAGUGAGAAAAACAUCAUUACACGCCAAGACCCUUCUCUCUAGUUUGAUAGAUGUGUAUAAUAAACCAGGAGGGGCACCUUAAGGAA
This is a non-coding RNA of Rattus norvegicus (Norway rat), 408 nucleotides long. The record is from RefSeq and is a predicted model, not a curated record. Lineage: Eukaryota; Metazoa; Chordata; Mammalia; Rodentia; Muridae.